This 556-nucleotide ribosomal RNA is filed under the name Alternaria alternata. RNAcentral's name for it is "eukaryotic LSU rRNA". The stretch from base 204 to 357 matches the Rfam family "5.8S ribosomal RNA". Lineage: Eukaryota; Fungi; Ascomycota; Dothideomycetes; Pleosporales; Pleosporaceae. The record is from RNAcentral.
AAAGGGUCCCCGAAAGGUGACCUGCGGAGGGAUCAUUACACAAAUAUGAAGGCGGGCUGGAACCUCUCGGGGUUACAGCCUUGCUGAAUUAUUCACCCUUGUCUUUUGCGUACUUCUUGUUUCCUUGGUGGGUUCGCCCACCACUAGGACAAACAUAAACCUUUUGUAAUUGCAAUCAGCGUCAGUAACAAAUUAAUAAUUACAACUUUCAACAACGGAUCUCUUGGUUCUGGCAUCGAUGAAGAACGCAGCGAAAUGCGAUAAGUAGUGUGAAUUGCAGAAUUCAGUGAAUCAUCGAAUCUUUGAACGCACAUUGCGCCCUUUGGUAUUCCAAAGGGCAUGCCUGUUCGAGCGUCAUUUGUACCCUCAAGCUUUGCUUGGUGUUGGGCGUCUUGUCUCUAGCUUUGCUGGAGACUCGCCUUAAAGUAAUUGGCAGCCGGCCUACUGGUUUCGGAGCGCAGCACAAGUCGCACUCUCUAUCAGCAAAGGUCUAGCAUCCACUAAGCCUUUUUUUCAACUUUUGACCUCGGAUCAGGUAGGGAUACCCGCUGAACUU